Molecule: ribosomal RNA, 425 nt
Filed under: uncultured bacterium
Lineage: Bacteria
Description: bacterial SSU rRNA
Rfam family: Bacterial small subunit ribosomal RNA
Source: RNAcentral
UCGAGAAUCUUCCGCAAUGGGCGCAAGCCUGACGGAGCGACGCCGCGUGUGGGAUGAAGGCCUUCGGGUUGUAAACCACUGUCAGUGGGGAGCAAAUGCAUCAGGGUUCUCUCUGGUGUUUGAGCGAUCCGCAGAGGAAGCACAGGCUAAUUCCGUGCCAGCAGCCGCGGUAAUACGGAAUGUGCAAACGUUAUUCGGAAUCACUGGGCUUAAAGAGUCCGUAGGCGGCCUGUUAGGUGAGGUGUGAAAUCCCCCGGCUCAACCGUGGAAUUGCGCUUCAAACCGGCAGGCUAGAGGAGGAUAGAGGUGGGCGGAACUGAUGGUGGAGCGGUGAAAUGCGUUGAUAUCAUCAGGAACACCGGAGGCGAAAGCGGUCCACUGGGUCCUUUCUGACGCUGAGGGACGAAAGCUAGGGGAGCGAACGG